Molecule: ribosomal RNA, 445 nt
Filed under: uncultured bacterium
Lineage: Bacteria
Description: partial 16S ribosomal RNA
Rfam family: Bacterial small subunit ribosomal RNA
Source: RNAcentral
GUGAGGAAUAUUGCGCAAUGGAGGCAACUCUGACGCAGCCAUGCCGCGUGCAGGAAGAAGGCGCUACGCGUUGUAAACUGCUUUUAACCGGGAAGAAACCCCAGGACGUGUCCUGGGUUGACGGUACCGGAGGAAUAAGCACCGGCUAACUUCGUGCCAGCAGCCGCGGUAAUACGAAGGGUGCAAGCGUUAUCCGGAUUCAUUGGGUUUAUAGGGUGCGUAGGCGGAGCGUUAAGUCAGUGGUGAAAUCCUGCAGCUUAACUGUAGACUUGCCAUUGAUACUGGCGCUCUUGAGUGCGCUUGAAGUGGGCGGAAUGUGCCGUGUAGCGGUGAAAUGCUUAGAUAUGGCACAGAACACCAAUUGCGAAGGCAGCUCACUAAGGCGAUACUGACGCUGAGGCACGAAAGCGUGGGGAUCGAACAGGAUUAGAUACCCGGGUAGUCC